RNAcentral lists this unclassified non-coding RNA (395 nucleotides) under soil metagenome. RNAcentral describes it as "partial contains 5.8S ribosomal RNA, internal transcribed spacer 2, and large subunit ribosomal RNA". The stretch from base 1 to 122 matches the Rfam family "5.8S ribosomal RNA", at positions 35 to 154 of the family's 154-position model. The record is from RNAcentral.
GAUGAAGAACGCAGCGAAAUGCGAUACUUGGUGUGAAUUGCAGAAUCCCGUGAACCAACGAGUCUUUGAACGCAAGUUGCGCCCGAAGCCAUCAGGUUGAGGGCACGUCUGCCUGGGCGUCACAUAUCGUUGCCCAAUGCCUAUUGCAGUGCAAUAGGAAUUUCUAGGGCGAAUGAUGGCUUCCCGUGAGCGUUGUUGCCUCGCGGUUGGUUGAAAAUCGAGUCCUUGGUAGGGUGUGCCAUGGUAGAUGGUGGUCGAGUUAGAACGAUACCGAUCAUGUGCAUGCUCCCCAAAAUAUGGCCUCUAUGACCCACACGCGUCUUUUGACGCUCAUGACGAGACCUCAGGUCAGGCGGGGCUACCCGCUGAAUUUAAGCAUAUCAAUAAGCGGAGGA